GCCAGGCAUGGUGGCGGGCGCCUGUAAUCCCAGCAACUCGGGAGGCUGAGGCAGGAGAAUUGCUUGAACCCAGGAGGUGGAGGUUGCAGUGGGCUGAGAUCGCACCACUGCACUCCAGCCUGGGCGACAGAGCAAGACUCUGUCUCUU
Molecule: unclassified non-coding RNA, 148 nt
Organism: Pongo abelii (Sumatran orangutan)
Lineage: Eukaryota; Metazoa; Chordata; Mammalia; Primates; Hominidae
Rfam family: Metazoan signal recognition particle RNA
About the family: The signal recognition particle (SRP) is a universally conserved ribonucleoprotein. It is involved in the co-translational targeting of proteins to membranes. The eukaryotic SRP consists of a 300-nucleotide 7S RNA and six proteins: SRPs 72, 68, 54, 19, 14, and 9.
Source: Ensembl